This 1150-nucleotide long non-coding RNA is filed under the name Accipiter nisus (Eurasian sparrowhawk). RNAcentral's name for it is "lncRNA (ENSANIG00000001731.1)". The record is from RNAcentral. Lineage: Eukaryota; Metazoa; Chordata; Aves; Accipitriformes; Accipitridae.
CAUGGGAUAGAUAACUUCUCUUACAUUUUGUAAACAUUAGCUCUUAUUACUACAGUCCUACAGCAAACAAGGCAGGAUAGCAAGGCUUUUACUGAGCAGCUCCGCUGCUGGCAGUGUACCAUGGUUCUAUCUGAAUGAACAAAAGCCCUUUGACUUCCACCUGUUAGAGAGGAGUCUUCUGGCUGCUGGAGGCUGGGCUGGUGGGUGCUCAGGUGACUCUUACAACUACUUGAGAAGCAGCCAGCAGCAGGUCUUCUGAGCUUUGACUCUCAUUCAUAGUGAGCUUCUAACCCAAUGAAUCAAGUGCUCUGGCUAGAGAAGCAAUUUCAGGCACUUCCAGCACGGGGCUGGCGAGCAGAGGGGAGAGGAGCGCUGGCGAAGCCUGGAAUGACGCUGCCAGCGUGGGGAAAUUGAGAGGCAACUUUUAAUUUGAAGGAAGUUCAGCUUGCGAAGGAGGUGCCGCCGAGAUCCUCUGGUCCGGGAGUUGCUCUGCUGAAGCAGCAGAGGGAUUGUAAAACGUUUCAGCUUGCAGAGGCCUUGCUGCUGUCUCCCUCUUCUCUUGCCAUAAGCGUCGUGUCUGGCUGGCAGCUGGGAAGAGGAAAAGUUGGCUGCUGUUAUCUGCCACCUGAUUUCCAUGAAUUCCAGCAUUAUACAGUUUGUCUCCUACAGCUUGCUCUACUGAUGAAUCAUGGGUCUGCAUCAAUAAAUCCAGCUUUAUGCAGAGCUUUGAAACAGGGAGAACUGCAGUCUAUAAGUACUUUUCAAAAUAGGUAAGCAGAAGUGAUUUUAUACUCAGAAAUAGCUUUGGUAUGAAGACGACUUUCAGGUCCGUUGAACCUCCGAAUAAUCAGGGGAGGAGGUAGUUGCAAGCUGAUGCGUGGCUUUGGGUUUUCCCUGUGCUUGGGGCAGACCUAUUUUUGGAGUUUCAUCAGGGAUCUAUUGAGCUUUAUAGUCCUGUAUGGUAGGAAAGAGUAGUGUGGAGUCCCUUAAAAGACCUGAGCACCACUGUCUCGGAGCUUCGCAUGUCCUCUCCUGUCCUGAAGAAGUCACUUAUACAGCUAAGCACAGUCUUCAUCCUGAACUUGUUCAUCUGGCUGCAAGUUAAAGGCCACCUCAAGUCCACUUUGUAAAUACGAGUAGUAGAAAGGUA